RNAcentral lists this ribosomal RNA (301 nucleotides) under uncultured bacterium. RNAcentral's name for it is "partial 16S ribosomal RNA". It matches the Rfam family "Bacterial small subunit ribosomal RNA", at positions 509 to 808 of the family's 1533-position model. The record is from RNAcentral.
CAGUAGCCGCGGUAAUACGAAGGGUGCAAGCGUUACUCGGAAAUACUGGGCGUAAAGCGCGCGUAGGUGGUGGUUUAAGUCCGUUGUGAAAGCCCUGGGCUCAACCUGGGAAUUGCAGUGGAUACUGGGUCACUAGAGUGUGGUAGAGGAUAGUGGAAUUUCCGGUGUAGCAGUGAAAUGCGUAGAGAUCGGAAGGAACGUCUGUGGCGAAGGCGACUAUCUGGGCCAACACUGACACUGAGGCACGAAAGCGUGGGGAGCAAACAGGAUUAGAUACCCAGUAGUCCCUGUCUCUUAUACC